CCCGCAACGAGCGCAACCCUGGCCAUUAGUUGCUACCAUUUAGUUGAGCACUCUAAUGGGACUGCCGGUGACAAACCGGAGGAAGGUGUUCCAUGACGUCAAGUCCUCAUGGCCCUUAUGACCAGGGCUUCACACGUCAUACAAUGGUCGGUACAGAGGGUCGCGAAGCCGCGAGGUGGAGCCAAUCUCAUAAAACCGAUCGUAGUCCGGAUCGCACUCUGCAACUCGAGUGCGUGAAGUCGGAAUCGCUAGUAAUCGCGGAUCAGCAUGCCGCGGUGAAUACUUU
This 286-nucleotide ribosomal RNA is filed under the name Aquitalea magnusonii. Its description in RNAcentral is "partial 16S ribosomal RNA". It matches the Rfam family "Bacterial small subunit ribosomal RNA", at positions 1086 to 1372 of the family's 1533-position model. Lineage: Bacteria; Pseudomonadati; Pseudomonadota; Betaproteobacteria; Neisseriales; Chromobacteriaceae. The record is from RNAcentral.